UAUUAAAAAAAAUUAAGUGGUUAAUUGUUAAUAAAAUUAAAAUAGUAUAUUUAUAGUUAUUGUCCUUUUUAUCAUUUUGCUCCUUUUAAACAACAAUUUUAACCAAACACAUAACAAACAACUUUUUUUUAUUAAUAAUAGCUUUCUAUUUUAUUACCGAACAGAUAAACUAUUUUUUCAAAAAAGCAGUUUUAUGAUUAGCGGUUUCAAAUCAGUAUCAGCAGAAUAGAACAACAAUGCCAAACAGACCCUUGAUCUAUCAAAGAUUAGAAACCUCAUACUUCUCAUGUUUGUUUGCUUUAUAGGCAAGGAAACUAAGCAAUACAAAAUAAAGAAAAUCAAACACUGUAAUAGCCAAGUCUUUUAUAAAAUAAAGCAAAAAUCAAUGAAUGCAAUCAUUUCAACUAAAUGGUUUCUGCAAUAGGCAAAAACAUCCCAUUACUACGUGUUUGCUGCAUAUUAAUACACAUAGAUAGCCAGUUAAGCAUAUUAUGAGCUCAAUUAUGAUAAUCAAUAGAAUAAUAUUAGCUCGCACUUGUUCUUAGUUUAGGACAUCACAACCACAAACAAUGAAACAAGUAGUGUUUCCCAUAAAUCACAUACUAUAUAUGGUUCAUACAUCAAUUAUUUAAGUAGAAAAUGCCACAUAAAUCUUCACAAUCAUAUUCACUAAUAGCAUUCCGACAAUCAAUUGCCCAAAAAUGAAGUAAACCACUUACAUUCCAGACCUUAAACCUUUCAAUCUAAAUGCAGGAACAUAGUUGGCAUUUUCCAAGAGAUCAUACCAAAAAUGCAACUAUAGUGUUGUAUUGAAAACAUAGAAUACAAAAUUUUAAAGUUUAGGAAUGAAACAGCUCUAAACUUAAUAUUCUAAAUAGCAACUACUAAAUCGGCAAUUCACCAUAGAAAAAUAAGUAGAAGAUUGGUAUAUUCCUAUCUCAUAAUGAAAAAGGGAUCACAAAUGUUUAAAACUUCAGUAUUCCAUAUGGGUAAAAGAACUGAAUCACAAGCAGUUAGAAGCUACCAAGAGCAUUUCCAAAACCCACAGGCAGCUGCCAAAUGAUUAUUUCAUCAACAUUAAAACACUAGACCAUUUUGGUUUAAACAUUACAUUAUUCAUUUUUUCCCCUCUCUGCAAAGUACUUUUCUUUCAGCUGGCUUGAGUAUUUAAGAAGAAUUAAUCUAGCAGAGGAUGUUGAGUUUUGAAUUAGUAAUAACUAAUCCAGCCAUUCAAUCUUUACACAGGUGAGCAUUACGUAUGAGAUAGGGGGCUAACGCUGAUAGCACAAAUUAGCUCUUCUCUAAUAUUUGAUUGACAGGUUAUUUGAUCCUCUAUUGCAAUAAUCUGACUGAACGUUAAUAGUUUGAUAGCUAUUUUCUGAUAAAUUUUAGCAUUCUAAUGCAUAAAUUCAACCGGAUCAGUGUAUCUUAAACAUGCAAUACCAGAAGUCCAAAUGCUGAGAUAUGUAAGACUCGUUACACAGAAAAUAACCCAAAAACAGAAUGCAGAUAAAAAUAAUUCCACAGGUUACAAAGUUGCUUAUCAGUAACGAUAUUCUAUGUGAAACAAGUAGCAAAAAUCAUAUAAGUACUUGUGGAUAUAAAACUACAUACCAAAAUAGCAAAACUUUUCACUAAGAAAAGAUAACAAACAUUUGAACUUACAUCAUUAGACGGCAAUAAUAAGUCCCCUCCAUUGGAGUCCUUCGAUGAGCCGAACUCGGAGUGGGAAGUUUUCGCUUUCUUCUUUGAACCCACAUCUCCAUUUCCAGAUUCUAAGUGAUUUCCCUUCCUUUUCUUGGUGCCAACACUCCACGACUUUCCUUUCUUGUCUCGAACUUUCCAUAUAUUCUUCCUCCUAAACACCAACUUGUCAAACUUCCACACCUCAAAGCUCGUAUCGAUAACUGUCACUUCACUUCUCGAGUACCCUUUUAGCUCUCUAUCACUACCGCCGCUACCUCCACCACCGGCUUUCUCCUUCUCCUCAUCCACAUCGUCAUCCCAAUUCGCAUUUGCCCCAAUAUUCGAAUUAUUAUCAGAGUGCAACGACACCGUUGCGGCCUGGACAUAUUCGUCUUUUCCGAUGGAGUCGAUGUCAUUUGCAGAAGUCGGAGUAGACACGUCGCAAAACUUAGGGUUUGUUUGUUUCCUGGUACUUUUUUUCCCAGAAAAUCUCGAAAUUUUCUCGUUGAGUUCCCCCAUGUUGAAAAGGUCACAGAGAACAUUGGUCAUUGCACCGAACCAUUGCUUGUCUCCACUCUCGCUUGAAGUCUCCGCGGCGUGGCUACUAUGAGCAGUGACUCGUUUAUUAUCAGACUGGGUCGACUCGGAGUUGGAGUUUAUUAAGGAAUUAGAGGGAUUGGCAAGUGGAGAAUCGGAAAAGGAAUUGUGGUGGUUGGUGAGGAAGCGGUCGAGGUCGAGAUCGUCGGCGGCCGGGAAGCCUUUGUUGGAGCGGAGCCGGUCCAGCCAGUUUGAACCGGACUUGCCAGUCGGGAUCGAACAGAGCAUUGGAAGAGGUGGAGCAAAAUGAUUGGAUGAUGAAAUGAAUUGGAGAAUUUCCUUUUCUUUUAUUGAGUUAGCAACUACACCGCCGAGGAGAGAGGAGAGUGCAGAGGCAGUCAAAG
RNAcentral lists this unclassified non-coding RNA (2627 nucleotides) under Hevea brasiliensis (rubber tree). Lineage: Eukaryota; Viridiplantae; Streptophyta; Magnoliopsida; Malpighiales; Euphorbiaceae. The record is from RNAcentral.